GGGGGUAUAGCUCAGUGGUAGUUUGGCAAGCAUGAGGUCUUGGGUUCAAUCCCCAGUACCUCCG
Molecule: transfer RNA, 64 nt
Filed under: Camelus bactrianus (Bactrian camel)
Lineage: Eukaryota; Metazoa; Chordata; Mammalia; Artiodactyla; Camelidae
Also listed under: 2 other names
Rfam family: tRNA
About the family: Transfer RNA (tRNA) molecules are approximately 80 nucleotides in length. Their secondary structure includes four short double-helical elements and three loops (D, anti-codon, and T loops).
Source: Rfam by way of RNAcentral